GCCCCUUUGGCUUAGGGGUAGGGCGUCGCACGUUCGUAAAACCUAGUGACAAUUGACGUGACUUUUAUACUAACAUACGAUAGUCGUAAUGCGAAGAUCACAGGUUCGAAUCCUGUAGGGGGCA
RNAcentral lists this transfer RNA (124 nucleotides) under Phaeoacremonium minimum UCRPA7. It matches the Rfam family "tRNA". From Rfam's summary of the family: Transfer RNA (tRNA) molecules are approximately 80 nucleotides in length. Their secondary structure includes four short double-helical elements and three loops (D, anti-codon, and T loops). Further hydrogen bonds mediate the characteristic L-shaped molecular structure. tRNAs have two regions of fundamental functional importance: the anti-codon, which is responsible for specific mRNA codon recognition, and the 3' end, to which the tRNAs corresponding amino acid is attached (by aminoacyl-tRNA synthetases). tRNAs cope with the degeneracy of the genetic code in two manners: having more than one tRNA (with a specific anti-codon) for a particular amino acid; and 'wobble' base-pairing, i.e. permitting non-standard base-pairing at the 3rd anti-codon position. The record is from Rfam by way of RNAcentral. Lineage: Eukaryota; Fungi; Ascomycota; Sordariomycetes; Togniniales; Togniniaceae.